RNAcentral lists this long non-coding RNA (231 nucleotides) under Elaeis guineensis (African oil palm). Its description in RNAcentral is "long non-coding RNA (EGUI_LNC003484)". Lineage: Eukaryota; Viridiplantae; Streptophyta; Magnoliopsida; Arecales; Arecaceae. The record is from RNAcentral.
UUGUAGUCGGGGCUGCAAGCAAGACAACGUGGGAUAGGGCUGGUUCACAGCCUCCUAUUUAUUUAAAGUCCCAAUAGUUUCAAUAAUUUUUCUUAAAUUUUUUAUAAUUGAUCUAAAAGAUUAUCAGAUUUUAUGCGGAUCAUUUUAGUCAGUAUAGAUAGAACUAGAUAGAAUCCAAAAGUGGAUUGGCCAAAUCGAGAAAUCGAAUCACACGUUGAGUCUCUAGAAACC